UACGUAGGGUGCGAGCGUUAAUCGGAAUUACUGGGCGUAAAGCGUGCGCAGGCGGUUUUGUAAGGCAGAUGUGAAAUCCCCGGGCUUAACCUGGGAAUGGCAUUUGGGACUGCAAGGCUGGAGUGCGGCAGAGGAGACUGGAAUUCCCGGUGUAGCAGUGAAAUGCGUAGAUAUCGGGAGGAAUACCGAUGGCGAAGGCAGGUCUCUGGGCUGACACUGACGCUCAUGCACGAAAGCGUGGGGAGCAAACAGG
This 253-nucleotide ribosomal RNA is filed under the name uncultured bacterium. RNAcentral's name for it is "partial 16S ribosomal RNA". It matches the Rfam family "Bacterial small subunit ribosomal RNA", at positions 524 to 776 of the family's 1533-position model. The record is from RNAcentral.